GCCGAGGUAGCUCAGUCCGGUAGAGCAGCGGACUGAAAAUCCGCGUGUCAUCGGUUCGAUUCCGAUCCUCGGCA
This 74-nucleotide transfer RNA is filed under the name Chloroflexota bacterium. Its description in RNAcentral is "Chloroflexi bacterium (groundwater metagenome) tRNA-Phe". It matches the Rfam family "tRNA". From Rfam's summary of the family: Transfer RNA (tRNA) molecules are approximately 80 nucleotides in length. Their secondary structure includes four short double-helical elements and three loops (D, anti-codon, and T loops). The record is from RNAcentral. Lineage: Bacteria; Bacillati; Chloroflexota.